UGAUGUAAAAAAAAAAUGAUACUUACUCAACAUAAGGCCAAACUUCUUCACAGUUAUUAAGAAUGUAAAGAUGUGCCUUAUGCUUCUAAUCAUCAGUGAGCAAGUGAUACUCACCUCUUCCUAAUGGUCGCCCAGAUCUUCUAAAAAUUCCCAACCCAUCAUUGCAACCAUUUUGAUCAAGCCAUCAUCAUUUCGUGGGAGCUGAUUAAAGAUGGUGUCAAUUCCUACCAAAUAUCUUCAACAAAAAAGUUAAACACUCAUCAGCAAUGUAAGCUUCAGCAAUUGAUCCUUCUGGCUUUGCCUUAUUUCAAACAUAUCAUUUUAAUUUAUGCAAAUAUCUCUCAAUUGGGUACAUCCAUCUGUAUUGAAUAGGUCCAGCAAUCUUG
This 386-nucleotide unclassified non-coding RNA is filed under the name Hevea brasiliensis (rubber tree). Lineage: Eukaryota; Viridiplantae; Streptophyta; Magnoliopsida; Malpighiales; Euphorbiaceae. The record is from RNAcentral.